RNAcentral lists this ribosomal RNA (257 nucleotides) under uncultured archaeon. RNAcentral describes it as "partial 16S ribosomal RNA". It matches the Rfam family "Bacterial small subunit ribosomal RNA", at positions 521 to 777 of the family's 1533-position model. The record is from RNAcentral.
UAAUACGGAGGGGGCUAGCGUUGUUCGGAAUUACUGGGCGUAAAGCGCACGUAGGCGGAUUGGAAAGUCAGGGGUGAAAUCCCGGGGCUCAACCCCGGAACUGCCUUUGAAACUCCCAGUCUUGAGGUCGAGAGAGGUGAGUGGAAUUCCGAGUGUAGAGGUGAAAUUCGUAGAUAUUCGGAGGAACACCAGUGGCGAAGGCGGCUCACUGGCUCGAUACUGACGCUGAGGUGCGAAAGCGUGGGGAGCAAACAGGA